CUGCGUGAGCCAACAGUGGCAACUUGUUCGGGUAUCCUUCCCCAGUGUGGAAGCUUUAGUUCUUUUGCUCUUUGCAAUGAAUCUUGCUGCUGCUCACUCUUUGGGUCCACGCUGCGUUUACACUGUGUUUAUGAGCUGUAACACUCACCACAAAGGUCUGCAGCUUCACUCCUGAAGCCAGCAAAGACCACGAACCCACCAGGAAGAAGGAACAACUCCAGACACGCAGCCUUAAGAGCUGUAACACUCACUGCCAAGGUCUUCAGCUUCACUCCUGAGCCAGCCAGACCAUGAACCCACCAGAAGGAAAAAACUCGGAACACAUCCCAACAUCAGAAGGAACAAACUCUGGACAUGCCGCCUUUAAGAACUGUAACAACGCAAGGGUCCGCGGCUUUAUUCUUGAAGUCAGUAAGACCAAGAACCCAAUUCCGGACACGCCCACAAGGGCAAGACUUCAUGAGGUUCUGGUGACCAAGCAUGCUCAUCGCUGUCCUGGGACUGCUCCAAGUGCAAUUCAAAGAUGUUUGUUACAAAUGAAGAUCCUCUCCUCAGAGAUCCUCAUUCCCUGCAUUUGAGAUGGGCCCUGGGAACCUUCAUUAUUAACUCCUGAAUUUCACUUGGACCAACACGGUGAUGGUGACAAGCCCAGCAGAUGGAAAGGCAGCUCAACAUCUGAGAAGCCAGUCUUACUCCCUGCAGGCAACAGCUGCUUCCAGAAAACAGCCCUGUAAUUGUCACCAUCAAAUCCAUAUAUUUUCAAGGGAAGUUGGUCCCACACCAGAAGUCAUAGCUGAAUCACCAGCAGUAAUGCAGGGACAUACUGGUUGCUUCUUGGCUUUUCCAACCCUCUGCCAUGCUUGAACAUCUUUGUGAAAGUCCAGGAACAACAAAUAAGCUUAAGGAUAAAAGCCCCCCAGCCAUACCACCACAACCCCCUGUUAAACUCAUGCAUGACUUGUAGAAUCCUUUCCCCACUGUCACUAAAAGGCUUUUUACAUUUUCCCUCCUUAAAACACCAGUUUACUGAAUGGAACGCUAUUUCCUAAAUAUUUGCUACACACACAGCUGUAUAUAGAGUUCCCAGGAGAUGACUUUUUUCUUGUCAUCUUUUAAAACUACAGUUAUAUGUUGAUUUAAUUAUCUUCUCUCUAGAUUACUUCACCAAAGUACAGUUCCUACAGGAAGAUAAUGAUCUGACCUAACCUACUAUUGGCUGAAGGAAGGAGAAAAGCAGCUGAAGAUGUCUGUUGAGUGAUUACCCUCAUAAUCCGUGACUAAGAACAUCCAAAUCAGCAUGGCUUCUUCCUGUCUGAAAUUAUUACUACUUAGGGUUUUUCACGUGUUAUUUCAUUUAUUGAUUAUUCUGUUUUAAACUUGCAAGACGUAUUGUCUCUUCAGAAAUAAAACUUUAUCACUUGCUUCAUCAA
This 1430-nucleotide long non-coding RNA is filed under the name Homo sapiens (human). Its description in RNAcentral is "HSALNT0378259". Lineage: Eukaryota; Metazoa; Chordata; Mammalia; Primates; Hominidae. The record is from RNAcentral.